Molecule: ribosomal RNA, 494 nt
Filed under: uncultured bacterium
Lineage: Bacteria
Description: partial 16S ribosomal RNA
Rfam family: Bacterial small subunit ribosomal RNA
Source: RNAcentral
GACGAACGCUGGCGGCGUGCUUAACACAUGCAAGUCGAACGGAAAGGCCUGCUUUCCCUUGUGGAUUGCGGGUACUCGAGUGGCGAACGGGUGAGUAACACGUGAGUGAUCUGCCCCCAACUUGGGUAUAAGCCUGGGAAACUGGGUCUAAUUCCCGAUAGGACUGCAGGGUGGUGCCUGUGGUGGAAAACGAUCUUCUAGUGGUUGGGGAUGAGCUCGCGGCCUAUCAGCUUGUUGGUGGGGUAAUGGCCUACCAAGGCGGCGACGGGUAGCCGGACUGGGAGGGGGGACGGCGACAUUGAGACUGGGAUACGGCCCAGACGCCUACGGGAGGCAGGAGUGGGGAAUAAUGCACAAAGAGCGGAAGCGUGAUGCAGCGACGCCGCGUGGGAGAUGACGGGCUUCGGGUUGUAUACUCCUUUCGACCGCGAGGAAGCCACCUGGUUGGGAGGGUGGUGACGGUAGUGGUAGAAGAAGCACCGGCUAACUACGUG